GAUGACAGUGUUCUUAAUGUGUGUUCUGUUGGUAAAUGUACUACAAUUCUCCACGGCCGACAAUACAGCUGCAAUGGAGGCAAAAAUGAAGUCAUUAUUUAGCGACUUUGGGACUGUGAAGGAAAAAUUAAAGACGUGUAUUGAAACCUGCAAAAAGGGAUGCAAAGGCAAUAACAAAUGUCAUUCUGAUUGUGAAACAAAUUGUGGCAAAAAGGAAGUUGCUGAUAAAUUUAAUAUCAAAAUGCCAAAUUGAGAACGGGAUGAAUAAUGAGCUUUGAAGAUCAAUUUGACGUAGGAAGAUCAAAUAUAAUUUAUUUAAAUAAAGUUUAUGAGAGAAAUUCUUAAAUUCUUUUAUCCUCUUUCAUUUUUUGUAAUGUAAUUUAUUUAUUUUGUUAUAAAGUAUUCUUUGAUAUUAACCUACAAAAAUUCAAGA
Long non-coding RNA from Cucurbita pepo subsp. pepo (vegetable marrow), 433 nucleotides. RefSeq lists it as uncharacterized. NCBI's taxonomy places the organism in Eukaryota, Viridiplantae, Streptophyta, Magnoliopsida, Cucurbitales, Cucurbitaceae. The record is from RefSeq and is a predicted model, not a curated record.